GACCUGCGGAAGGAUCAUUAAAGAAAUAAUCUCGAGGGCCGAUGGAAAGGAGAGAGGGUUGUAGCUGGCGUAAGCACGUGCACGCCCUCUUUCUCGACCUAGGUCCUUAUGGGCGCGGGGCGACCCGCGUCUUCAUAAGCCCCUUCGUGUAGAAAGUCUAGGAAUGUUUUUAUCAUCAUCGACUCGCGACUUCUAGGAGACGCGAUUCUUUGAGACAAAAGUUAUUACAACUUUCAGCAAUGGAUCUCUUGGCUCUCGCAUCGAUGAAGAACGCAGCGAAUCGCGAUAUGUAAUGUGAAUUGCAGAUCUACAGUGAAUCAUCGAAUCUUUGAACGCACCUUGCGCUUAUCGGUGUUCCGAUGAGCAUGCCUGUUUGAGCGUCAUUAAAUUCUCAACCCCUCUCGAUUUGCUUCGAGAGGGUGCUUGGAUAGUGGAGGCUGCCGGAGACCUGUUUUUUCAGGACUCGGGCUCCUCUGAAAUGCAUUGGCUUGCGGUCGACUUUCGACUGUGCAUGACAAGGCCUUUGGCGUGAUAAUGAUCGCCGCUCGCCGAAGUGCACGAACGAAUGGUCUCGUGCCCCUAAUCAGUCGAUGUCUUUUCGAAGGCGUCUUCCUUAUUGACGUUGACCUCA
RNAcentral lists this ribosomal RNA (631 nucleotides) under Suillus tomentosus. RNAcentral's name for it is "eukaryotic LSU rRNA". The stretch from base 229 to 383 matches the Rfam family "5.8S ribosomal RNA". The record is from RNAcentral. Lineage: Eukaryota; Fungi; Basidiomycota; Agaricomycetes; Boletales; Suillaceae.